Acomys russatus (golden spiny mouse) is the source of this 125-nucleotide small nuclear RNA. NCBI's taxonomy places the organism in Eukaryota, Metazoa, Chordata, Mammalia, Rodentia, Muridae. The record is from RefSeq and is a predicted model, not a curated record.
AAGAUGUAUGAAAGGCGAGAAGGUUAGCACUCCCCUUGACGAGGGUAGAAGAGGCCCUUGGUCCUAACAACAGGCAUACGGUUAAGGCACUGCCACCAAUUUGUGGCAUCUAACCACCUUGUUGU